RNAcentral lists this ribosomal RNA (372 nucleotides) under uncultured organism. RNAcentral describes it as "bacterial SSU rRNA". It matches the Rfam family "Bacterial small subunit ribosomal RNA", at positions 526 to 896 of the family's 1533-position model. The record is from RNAcentral.
CAGAGGUCCCAAGCGUUGUUCGGAUUCACUGGGCGUAAAGGGUGCGUAGGUGGUGAGGUAAGUCGGAUGUGAAAUCUCCAGGCUCAACCUGGAAAUGGCAUCGGAAACUACCUUGCUCGAGGUUUGGAGGGGGGACUGGAAUACUUGGUGUAGCAGUGAAAUGCGUAGAUAUCAAGUGGAACACCAGUGGCGAAGGCGAGUCCCUGGACAAAACCUGACACUGAGGCACGAAAGCUAGGGGAGCAAACAGGAUUAGAUACCCUGGUAGUCCUAGCUGUAAACGGUGCUUAUUUGCUGUAAAAGGAAUCGACCCCUUUUGUGGCGUAGCCAACGCGUUAAAUAAGCCGCCUGGGAAGUACGGUCGCAAGAUUA